This 496-nucleotide ribosomal RNA is filed under the name uncultured bacterium. RNAcentral's name for it is "partial 16S ribosomal RNA". It matches the Rfam family "Bacterial small subunit ribosomal RNA", at positions 29 to 507 of the family's 1533-position model. The record is from RNAcentral.
AUGAACGCUGGCGGCGUGCCUAAUACAUGCAAGUCGAGCGAACGGACGAGAAGCUUGCUUCUCUGAUGUUAGCGGCGGACGGGUGAGUAACACGUGGAUAACCUACCUAUAAGACUGGGAUAACUUCGGGAAACCGGAGCUAAUACCGGAUGAUAUUUUGAACCGCAUGGUUCAAAAGUGAAAGACGGUCUUGCUGUCACUUAUAGAUGGAUCCGCGCUGCAUUAGCUAGUUGGUAAGGUAACGGCUUACCAAGGCAACGAUGCAUAGCCGACCUGAGAGGGUGAUCGGCCACACUGGAACUGAGACACGGUCCAGACUCCUACGGGAGGCAGCAGUAGGGAAUCUUCCGCAAUGGGCGAAAGCCUGACGGAGCAACGCCGCGUGAGUGAUGAAGGUCUUCGGAUCGUAAAACUCUGUUAUUAGGGAAGAACAUAUGUGUAAGUAACUGUGCACAUCUUGACGGUACCCAAUCAGAAAGCCACGGCUAACUACGUG